RNAcentral lists this ribosomal RNA (252 nucleotides) under uncultured bacterium. RNAcentral describes it as "partial 16S ribosomal RNA". It matches the Rfam family "Bacterial small subunit ribosomal RNA", at positions 524 to 776 of the family's 1533-position model. The record is from RNAcentral.
UACGGAGGGUGCAAGCGUUAAUCGGAAUUACUGGGCGUAAAGCGCACGCAGGCGGUCUGUCAAGUCGGAUGUGAAAUCCCCGGGCUCAACCUGGGAACUGCAUUCGAAACUGGCAGGCUGGAGUCUUGUAGAGGGGGGUAGAAUUCAGGUGUAGCGGUGAAAUGCGUAGAGAUCUGGAGGAAUACCGGUGGCGAAGGCGGCCCCCUGGACAAAGACUGACGCUCAGGUGCAAAAGCGUGGGGAGCAAACAGG